This 460-nucleotide ribosomal RNA is filed under the name uncultured bacterium. RNAcentral describes it as "partial 16S ribosomal RNA". It matches the Rfam family "Bacterial small subunit ribosomal RNA", at positions 338 to 795 of the family's 1533-position model. The record is from RNAcentral.
CCUACGGGAGGCAGCAGUGAGGAAUAUUGGUCAAUGGACGAGAGUCUGAACCAGCCAAGUAGCGUGAAGGAUGACUGCCCUAUGGGUUGUAAACUUCUUUUAUAAAGGAAUAAAACGAGGCACGUGUGCCUUUUUGCAUGUACUUUAUGAAUAAGGAUCGGCUAACUCCGUGCCAGCAGCCGCGGUAAUACGGAGGAUCCGAGCGUUAUCCGGAUUUAUUGGGUUUAAAGGGAGCGUAGAUGGGUUGUUAAGUCAGUUGUGAAAGUUUGCGGCUCAACCGUAAAAUUGCAAUUGAUACUGGCAGUCGUGAGUACAGUAGAGGUAGGCGGAAUUCGUGGUGUAGCGGUGAAAUGCUUAGAUAUCACGAAGAACCCCGAUUGCGAAGGCAGCUUACUAAACUGUAACUGACAUUGAUGCUCGAAAGUGUGGGUAUCAAACAGGAUUAGAUACCCCUGUAGUC